CAUAUCCUACGGGACGCAGCAGUGAGGAAAAUUGGUCAAUGGGCGGAAGCCUGAACCAGCCAAGUCGCGUGAGGGAAUAAGGCCCUACGGGUCGUAAACCUCUUUUGCCGGGGAGCAAGGGCCGGGACGCGUCCCGGCCCGGAGAGUACCCGGAGAAAAAGCAUCGGCUAACUCCGUGCCAGCAGCCGCGGUAAUACGGAGGAUGCGAGCGUUAUCCGGAUUUAUUGGGUUUAAAGGGUGCGUAGGCGGGCUUUUAAGUCAGC
RNAcentral lists this ribosomal RNA (263 nucleotides) under uncultured bacterium. RNAcentral's name for it is "partial 16S ribosomal RNA". It matches the Rfam family "Bacterial small subunit ribosomal RNA", at positions 333 to 592 of the family's 1533-position model. The record is from RNAcentral.